AGUGAACGCUGGCGGUAGGCCUAACACAUGCAAGUCGAACGGCAGCACAGUAAGAGCUUGCUCUUACGGGUGGCGAGUGGCGGACGGGUGAGGAAUACAUCGGAAUCUACUUUUUCGUGGGGGAUAACGUAGGGAAACUUACGCUAAUACCGCAUACGACCUACGGUUGAAAGCAGGGGAUCUUCGGACCUUGCGCGAUUGAAUGAGCCGAUGUCGGAUUAGCUAGUUGGCGGGGUAAAGGCCCACCAAGGCGACGAUCCGUAGCUGGUCUGAGAGAAUGAUCAGCCACACUGGAACUGAGACACGGUCCAGACUCCUACGGGAGGCAGCAGUGGGGAAUAUUGGACAAUGGGCGCAAGCCUGAUCCAGCCAUACCGCGUGGGUGAAGAAGGCCUUCGGGUUGUAAAGCCCUUUUGUUGGGAAAGAAAAGCAGCAGGUUAAUACCCCGCUGUUCUGACGGUACCCAAAGAAUAAGCACCGGCUAACUUCGUG
This 492-nucleotide ribosomal RNA is filed under the name uncultured bacterium. RNAcentral describes it as "partial 16S ribosomal RNA". It matches the Rfam family "Bacterial small subunit ribosomal RNA", at positions 29 to 507 of the family's 1533-position model. The record is from RNAcentral.